Molecule: ribosomal RNA, 403 nt
Filed under: Fusobacteriota bacterium
Lineage: Bacteria; Fusobacteriati; Fusobacteriota
Description: Fusobacteria bacterium partial 16S ribosomal RNA
Rfam family: Bacterial small subunit ribosomal RNA
Source: RNAcentral
UGGGGAAUAUUGCACAAUGGAGGGAACUCUGAUGCAGCGACGCCGCGUGAACGAAGAAGGCUUUCGAGUCGUAAAGUUCUUUUAUAUGGGAAGAUAAUGACGGUACCAUAAGAAAAAGCUCCGGCUAACUACGUGCCAGCAGCCGCGGUAAUACGUAGGGGGCUAGCGUUGUUCGGAAUCACUGGGCGUAAAGGGUUCGCAGGCGGAAAUGCAAGUCAGGUGUAAAAGGCAGUAGCUUAACUACUGUAAGCAUUUGAAACUGCAUAUCUUGAGAAGAGUAGAGGUAAGUGGAAUUUUUAGUGUAGCGGUGAAAUGCGUAGAUAUUAAAAAGAAUACCGGUGGCGAAGGCGACUUACUGGGCUCAUUCUGACGCUGAGGAACGAAAGCGUGGGUAGCAAACAGG